Molecule: ribosomal RNA, 465 nt
Filed under: uncultured bacterium
Lineage: Bacteria
Description: partial 16S ribosomal RNA
Rfam family: Bacterial small subunit ribosomal RNA
Source: RNAcentral
GACGAACGCUGGCGGCGUGCUUAACACAUGCAAGUCGAACGGAAAGGCCCUGCUUGCAGGGUACUCGAGUGGCGAACGGGUGAGUAACACGUGGGUGAUCUGCCCUGCACUUCGGGAUAAGCCUGGGAAACUCGGUCUAAUACCGGAUAGGAGCCAUUUUUAGUGUGAUGGUUGGAAAGUUUUUUCGGUGUAGGAUGAGCUCGCGGCCUAUCAGCUUGUUGGUGGGGUAAUGGCCUACCAAGGCGGCGACGGGUAGCCGGCCUGAGAGGGUGGACGGCCACAUUGGGACUGAGAUACGGCCCAGACUCCUACGGGAGGCAGCAGUGGGGAAUAUUGCACAAUGGGCGCGAGCCUGAUGCAGCGACGCCGCGUGGGGGAGGACGGCCUUCGGGUUGUAAACGCCUUUCGCUAGGGACGAAGCUUUUUGUGACGGUACCUAGAUAAGAAGCACCGGCUAACUACGUG